UACCAGACUCCUACGGGAGGCAGCAGUGGGGAAUAUUGCACAAUGGGGGAAACCCUGAUGCAGCAACGCCGUGUGAGUGAAGAAGCGUUUCGGCGCGUAAAGCUCUGUCAGCGGGGAAGGAAGAAGACGGUACCCGACCAAGAAGCCCCGGCUAACUACGUGCCAGCAGCCGCGGUAAUACGUAGGGGGCAAGCGUUAUCCGGAUUUACUGGGUGUAAAGGGGGCGCAGACGGCGAUGCAAGCCAGGAGUGAAAGCCCGGGGCCCAACCCCGGGACUGCUCUUGGAACUGCGUGGCUGGAGUGCAGGAGGGGCAGGCGGAAUUCCUGGUGUAGCGGUGAAAUGCGUAGAUAUCAGGAGGAACACCGGCGGCGAAGGCGGCCUGCUGGACCGCGACUGACGUUGAGGCUCGAAAGCGUGGGGAGCGAACAGGAUUAGAUACCCCCGUAAAA
Molecule: ribosomal RNA, 450 nt
Filed under: uncultured bacterium
Lineage: Bacteria
Description: bacterial SSU rRNA
Rfam family: Bacterial small subunit ribosomal RNA
Source: RNAcentral